Molecule: ribosomal RNA, 447 nt
Filed under: uncultured bacterium
Lineage: Bacteria
Description: bacterial SSU rRNA
Rfam family: Bacterial small subunit ribosomal RNA
Source: RNAcentral
CUACCAGACUCCUACGGGAGGCAGCAGUGGGGAAUAUUGCACAAUGGGGGAAACCCUGAUGCAGCGACGCCGCGUGAGUGAAGAAGUAUCUCGGUAUGUAAAGCUCUAUCAGCAGGAAAGAUAAUGACGGUACCUGACUAAGAAGCCCCGGCUAACUACGUGCCAGCAGCCGCGGUAAUACGUAGGGGGCAAGCGUUAUCCGGAUUUACUGGGUGUAAAGGGAGCGUAGACGGCAGCGCAAGUCUGGAGUGAAAUGCCGGGGCCCAACCCCGGAACUGCUCUGGAAACUAUUUGACUGGAGUGCAGGAGAGGUAAGCGGAAUUCCUAGUGUAGCGGUGAAAUGCGUAGAUAUUAGGAGGAACACCAGUGGCGAAGGCGGCUUGCUGGGCUUUUACUGACGCUGAGGCUCGAAAGUGUGGGGAGCAAACAGGAUUAGAUACCCUGGUA